RNAcentral lists this ribosomal RNA (1483 nucleotides) under uncultured bacterium. RNAcentral's name for it is "16S ribosomal RNA". It matches the Rfam family "Bacterial small subunit ribosomal RNA". The record is from RNAcentral.
AGAGUUUGAUCCUGGCUCAGGAUGAACGCUAGCGGCAGGCUUAACACAUGCAAGUCGAGGGGUAACAGGGUAGCAAUACUGCUGACGACCGGCGCACGGGGNNNNNNNNNNNNNNNNNNNNNNNNNNNNNNNNNNNNNNNNNNNNNNNNNNNNNNNNNNNNNNNNNNNNAUAAUAAGAUCUGGCAUCUUUUCUUAUUUAAAGUUUAUUUGAUUAUAGAUGGGCAUGCGUGACAUUAGAUAGUUGGUGAGGUAACGGCUCACCAAGUCAGCGAUGUCUAGGGGUUCUUAAAGGAUGACCCCCCACACUGGUACUGAGAUACGGACCAGACUCCUACGGGAGGCAGCAGUAAGGAAUAUUGGUCAAUGGCCGAGAGGCUGAACCAGCCAUCCCGCGUGCAGGAAGACAGCCCUAUGGGUUGUAAACUUCUUUUGUACGGGAAUAACCCUCCGAACGUGUUCGGAGCUGACGGUACCGUCAGAGGAAGCACCGGCUAACUACGUGCCAGCAGCCGCGGUAAUACGGAGGUGGCGAGCGUUAUUCGGAUUUAUUGGGUUUAAAGCGCGCGUAGGCGGUUUGAUAAGUCAGUGGUGAAAGCCUGCAGCUUAACUGCAGAACUGCCAUUGAUACUGCCAGUCUGGAGUAUGGUUGAGGUAGCUGGAAUGUGUCACGUAGCGGUGAAAUGCUUAGAGAUGACACAGAACACCAGCUGCGAAGGCAGGUUACCAACCCAUUACUGACGCUGAGGCACGAAAGCGUGGGGAUCAAACAGGAUUAGAUACCCUGGUAGUCCACGCCGUAAACUAUGAUUACUAGUUGUUGGCGAUACAUUGCCAGUGACUGAGCGAAAGCAUUAAGUAAUCCACCUGGGGAGUACGUUCGCAAGAAUGAAACUCAAAGGAAUUGACGGGGGCCCGCACAAGCGGAGGAGCAUGUGGUUUAAUUCGAUGAUACGCGAGGAACCUUACCUGGGCUCGAACGUAUAGGGAAUUAUGCCGAAAGGUAUAAGCCAGCAAUGGCCGUAUACGAGGUGCUGCAUGGUUGUCGUCAGCUCGUGCCGUGAGGUGUCGGGUUAAGUGCCAUAACGAGCGCAACCCUUACCCUUAGUUGCCAGCAUGUAAUGAUGGGGACUCUAAAGGAACUGCCUACGCAAGUAGUGAGGAAGGUGGGGAUGACGUCAAAUCAGCACGGCCCUUAUGUCCAGGGCGACACACGUGCUACAAUGGCCGAUACAAAGGGCAGCUACCAGGUGACUGGAUGCGAAUCUUUAAAAUCGGUCUCAGUUCGGAUCGGAGUCUGCAACUCGACUCCGUGAAGUCGGAUUCGCUAGUAAUCGCGCAUCAGCCAUGGCGCGGUGAAUACGUUCCCGGGCCUUGUACGCACCGCCCGUCAAGCCAUGGAAGUUGGGGGUGCCUGAAGUUCGUGACCGCAAGGAGCGACCUAAGGUAAAACUGGUAACUGGGGCUAAGUCGUAACAAGGUAACC